RNAcentral lists this long non-coding RNA (215 nucleotides) under Gossypium barbadense (sea-island cotton). Its description in RNAcentral is "long non-coding RNA (GBAR_LNC013456)". The record is from RNAcentral. Lineage: Eukaryota; Viridiplantae; Streptophyta; Magnoliopsida; Malvales; Malvaceae.
UGCCACAUAUGUGAUCAUUUCUGUCACUUCAUUCGUAUCUCUUUUUAUUCCAAAUGUUCAAUCGGAAAAUUUCUCACUUUUUCUCACUUUUUCCUUUUUCACUAAUCAAAGUCAAUUCAUUGUCUUUCUUGACUUAUAAUAACACAUUUAACUUAUUUAACACUCACAUUAUUCAAUCAAGUCCAAAAAUGACAUUUUGGAAAAUUACAUUUUUG